UACGGGGGGGGCAAGCGUUGUUCGGAAUUACUGGGCGUAAAGCGCGUGUAGGCGGCGUAGCAAGUCGGGCGUGAAAGCCCACGGCUCAACCGUGGAAGAGCACUCGAAACUGCUGCGCUAGAGUUCUGGAGAGGAAGGCGGAAUGCUUGGUGUAGAGGUGAAAUUCGUAGAUAUCAAGCGGAACACCGGUGGCGAAGGCGGCCUUCUGGACAGUGACUGACGCUGAAACGCGAAAGCGUGGGGAGCAAACAGG
Molecule: ribosomal RNA, 253 nt
Filed under: uncultured bacterium
Lineage: Bacteria
Description: partial 16S ribosomal RNA
Rfam family: Bacterial small subunit ribosomal RNA
Source: RNAcentral